CUACCCCGCUGAACUUAAAGCAUAUCAAUAAGCGGAGGAAAAGAAACUAACAAGGAUUCCCCUAGUAACUGCGAGUGAACCGGGAAAAGCUCAAAUUUUGAAUCUGGCGGUCUUCAGGCCGUCCGAGUUGUAAUCUAGAGAAGCGUCUUCCGCGCUGGACCGUGUAUAAGUUUCCUGGAAUGGAACGUCGUAGAGGGUGAGAAUCCCGUCUUUGACACGGACUGCCAGGGCUAUGUGAUGCGCUCUCGACGAGUCGAGUUGUUUGGGAAUGCAGCUCAAAUAGGGUGGUAAAUUCUAUCUAAAGCUAAAUACAGGCGAGAGACCGAUAGCGAACAAGUACCGUGAGGGAAAGAUGAAAAGAACUUUGGAAAGAGAGUUAAACAGUACGUGAAAUUGCUGAAAGGGAAACGCUUGAUGUCAGUCGCGUCGUCCGGGGAUCAGCCUUGCUCUUUUGCUCGGUGUAUUUCCUGGUCGACGGGUCAGCAUCGGUUUUGACCGUCGGAAAAUGGCUCGAGGAAUGUGGCACCCUUCGGGGUGUGUUAUAGACUCGGGUCGAAUACGGCGAUUGGGACCGAGGAACUCAGCACGACCUUAGGGUUCGGGGCUUCGGCCCACGUUAACGUGCUUAGGAUGCUGGCAUAAUGGCCUUAAGCGACCCGUCUUGAAACACGG
Molecule: ribosomal RNA, 672 nt
Filed under: uncultured fungus
Lineage: Eukaryota; Fungi
Description: eukaryotic LSU rRNA
Rfam family: Eukaryotic large subunit ribosomal RNA
Source: RNAcentral